GUUGAUUUGGCAGAAUAGUGCUUUAAAUUUAGAAUUUAAAUAUAUAAUUGUAUUUUAUAGUCAAUA
RNAcentral lists this transfer RNA (66 nucleotides) under Neotrogla sp. 5 KY-2017. RNAcentral describes it as "tRNA-Leu". Lineage: Eukaryota; Metazoa; Arthropoda; Insecta; Psocodea; Prionoglarididae. The record is from RNAcentral.